Dioscorea cayenensis subsp. rotundata (Guinea yam) is the source of this 91-nucleotide small nucleolar RNA. RefSeq annotates it as small nucleolar RNA U54. The transcript has a single exon. NCBI's taxonomy places the organism in Eukaryota, Viridiplantae, Streptophyta, Magnoliopsida, Dioscoreales, Dioscoreaceae. The record is from RefSeq and is a predicted model, not a curated record.
AACUCUAUGAUUAAUGCCAAACUUCUUUGGCAAUAUACGCUAUUCUGAAUGUUGAAAUGAAACAACCGAAAACAUAUAUUAUAUGAGAGUU